ACUACAUUGCAAGAUGCAAGACUAUUGUGUACCAAUAUUAGCCAGGUGGAGUCUGGGAGAGGUGUCCAGAGUGUCAUCGGAGAGCGGUGGAACAUAAUAAAAUCUUCAAGCUGCAUAUGACACCAGGAUAACUUUACAUCUGAUCUUUCAAAGGAGUAUUUCAGAAGUGAUUACCCUUGGGUCCAACUCUGAUCAGCUUUCUACUCUACGAUGGAAUUGAAAAGUUAAAUAUAUACUGAUCGAUAUAUUAAACAAAUGCAAGUUAAAAUUUGA
This is a long non-coding RNA of Ornithorhynchus anatinus (platypus), 273 nucleotides long. RefSeq lists it as uncharacterized. The transcript has 2 exons. NCBI's taxonomy places the organism in Eukaryota, Metazoa, Chordata, Mammalia, Monotremata, Ornithorhynchidae. The record is from RefSeq and is a predicted model, not a curated record.